UACGUAGGGUGCGAGCGUUGUCCGGAAUUACUGGGCGUAAAGAGCUCGUAGGUGGUUUGUCGCGUUGUUCGUGAAAACUCACAGCUUAACUGUGGGCGUGCGGGCGAUACGGGCAGACUGGAGUACUGCAGGGGAGACUGGAAUUCCUGGUGUAGCGGUGGAAUGCGCAGAUAUCAGGAGGAACACCGGUGGCGAAGGCGGGUCUCUGGGCCGGAACUGACGCUGAGGAGCGAAAGCGUGGGUAGCAAACAGG
Molecule: ribosomal RNA, 253 nt
Filed under: uncultured bacterium
Lineage: Bacteria
Description: partial 16S ribosomal RNA
Rfam family: Bacterial small subunit ribosomal RNA
Source: RNAcentral